This 235-nucleotide long non-coding RNA is filed under the name Prunus persica (peach). RNAcentral describes it as "long non-coding RNA (PPER_LNC006883)". The record is from RNAcentral. Lineage: Eukaryota; Viridiplantae; Streptophyta; Magnoliopsida; Rosales; Rosaceae.
GAAAACCAAAAGGUAAGACUUGAGGCACAGUUGUGAUAUUGGCCGAAGGCCCUCCGAUACUAAAGUUAGCCGAAGGCAAGAGGAGUUAGCUACUGGCAAAGUAAGGACAUAAUUGUUGAAUGGCUAUUACCUAGUACCUUGGGGGCAAUAAGCUCAAUUUAUAAACGUUUUGGGGUGUGCUCUUGGUGUAAACUUUCGAUGUGGGACUCAUGGGGGAAGCUUGGGAGGCUGCCAC